Molecule: long non-coding RNA, 3334 nt
Organism: Capra hircus (goat)
Lineage: Eukaryota; Metazoa; Chordata; Mammalia; Artiodactyla; Bovidae
Exons: 2
Source: RefSeq, a predicted model, not a curated record
CAUCUGGGAAUACCCGUUUUGAAGUGUACCAGUAAGCUUUUCCUGCAUAACAGACUAUUCCAAAAUUUGAUGGUUGACAACAACCACUCAUUUAACUUAUCUUUCUGCAGGUCAGCAGUUUGCUGUGGGCUCAGGUAGCAGUUCCUCUGUUCUUGGAUCUGUGGUCAGCUGCAGGUUUGGCUGGGCACUGGUGGCAGCCUGGCUUUAGCAGGAUGGCUCAUCUCUGCUCCACAGAGUCUCUCAUCUUCCAGGAGGCAGGCCUGGACUUGUUUCCAUGGUGAUGCAGUAAGGUUCUAAGGAAGCAAGCAGAGUGGAGGUUUGGAAGGAAAAGCUUCAGACUCUGCAGACAUCCAGUGGCCCAGUUUGGAAGAUGGAUUAUAUAUAUUCACCCUCCUUAGAAGGCCAAGGAGGAGAAAACAUCAAGGAGAAGGAGACGUAGAUGUGAAAUACUGCCAAGAGGACGAAGAAGGUUAAGUUUGGAAAGUGGGUUCCGUUGGGAUUGGAUUUGGCAAACUGAUGACCUUGGUUGGAGAAAGGCUUCUGAGAAAAAAGACGGGAAACAGACUGGAUCACGCUGAAUCUAGAUAAGAAAUAAGUAAAGAUAACAAAUUGCACAAGUCUUUCCAGAAGCUUGGCUGGGAAGGAAAGAAAAAGAGGGGCAGCUACAUGGAAUGGAAGAGGGCACACCCUCCCUGCCGUUCUCCUCAGGAGAGGGUUGGAGCAUGGCAGACCCAGUAGGGACGACUCCAAUAGAGAGAUUCCCUCCAAUAGAGGGAAUCAAGGGCCGAGGUUUCUGGGGAGCCAGAAAGUACGAGGGUCCAGAUAAAGGGGAAAAAGCCUUGAAGAAAUAAAGGAGGAGACUUAAGAAAUAGUGGGAAAAAUCCCAAGGAGGUGGGUUUCUGGGCACGGAACUGAUGAAGGGGCUGGCAUUACGUUACAGACUUGUUUGACCACAGCAGACCAUGGUCGGUGAUGCAUUGGUCUUCCCUUGGCCGUAGACUCUUUACCCACCCCACCCCCGAAUGCACAUACCUGCACACGCGUGAUUUCUUCACACAGGUCAGGAGGCUCACAGCAAGCUGCUACCCACAGAGGAGUCCAGACCACAGUGAGCAUUUCAGCAAGCAUGCCUUCUCAUCAGGGACUCACUGCCCUGACCCCUCUCCAACCUACAUUCCCAACCACCCACUGGACACCUCCCCUGGCGGUCCCACAGCCAUCUCGGGAACAGGGUUUCAUUCACUUAUUAAAUUCUGUCUUGCAACCUGUAUUGUGGGCCAGGAACCACUUGUGCUGGGCUCAGAGGAGACAACAGACACCAAGCAGACAUGGUCCCGCCCUUACUGGGGAGAUAGAGAUGAGUCAAAUAAACAACAAGUUGGGACGUCCCUGGUGAUCCAGAGGUUAGGACUCAGCACUUCCCCUGCAGGGGACACAAGUUCAGUCCCUGGUCAGGAAACUAAGAUCCUGCAAGCCGUGUGAGUGCAGCCAAAAGGAAAACAAAACGAAAAGCCAUAAGUAAUCAACAACUUGUCACAGCACAGUGUGAGGACACCCACCCACUGUGCCACCUUCCAACCUGAAUACCAGCAGCAGCAUCCUGGGGCCUCCUAGCUCCCCUGCCUCCUGUAUGCCCACUCGUCCAUGUGAUUCUCCGGGCUAGUGCGUCACCUCCUUUUCUUUCUCCAUGACCUCUGCCUGGACUCCUAGCCUGUCACCUCCAAUCUCCACCCAAAACCCUCCUCCGCAUGGCUGCCCAAGUUUUCUCUUCUACAUUAACAAGUACGAUCACAAUAUUCUCGAGAUAAAGAACUUCUUUACAGGAACCUCAAAGACAAAUAGUAGAAAGUCACUGGAGGGACUUCCCUGGUGGUUCAAUGGUGAAGACUUGACCUUUCGGUGCUGGGGUGCAGGUUCCAUCCCUGGUGGGGGAGCUAAAAUCUUACAUGCCUCCUGGGCAAAAAACCAAAACACAAAACAGAAUCAAUAUUGUAACAAAUUUAAUAAAGACUUUAAAAAUGGUCCACAUUAAAAAAAAGAUACAUAAAAAAGAAAGCCACUGGAGAUAAGACUGUUAGCCCAUAAGAGAAUAAGAUUUGGAUACAGACACAUAAACACACAUACACAGCAUGUAAAAGAACUAAAUAAUAUAAAUAAUGAGGUACAACUAAUGUAUAUGCAGUUUUUUCCCCCUCUAAAGAUAGAUAAUACAAGAGCCAAAAAUUAACCAAAUUUUAGGAAAUAAUGAAAACCUUAAUGGAUUUCAAAAAGCUGAGUACAAACAAUCUUCUGAUUAUAAUAUUACAAUAAAAUGCAAAUUUAAUAACCACCAGAAGAUAAAAAGUUACAACCACCUAGAAAUAUACUUCUAAAAUUAAUCUUAAACAAUUUGAGUUAAAGAGGAAAUACAAACUGAGAAAGAAGAUUAUCUAGAAAAUAACAGUAAACUCUUUGGAAACAUCAAAAACGAAGGCACAAGACCUGCAUCCGUGCUCUUUUUCCCCACCCUCUGUAACGCCCUCUGUAGUUUGCACCCGUGACCCCAGUCCCGCUUUCUCUGUUCUCUCCCGUUGCCUUGGCUCCUGCACUGAAUUUCUCAACAGCUCUGGAAGCUGUCACCUUCUGUCACCCCUCCACACCUUUAUGCCAUUGGCCUGGGAUGUCCUUUCCCUUCUUACCUACCUAGCAAACUCCUGUUUACUCAUGAAUACUCAGAGUUGUGGUCCCUUCCUUUGUGAUGCCUCACAGAAUCGUCCACCCCUUCCCCAUGUGCCCAGAGGUCUUGGCACCGUCCUCUGGAGAAGACGGUGAGUAGAAAGAGAGCCUGGGUCAGGUCUCAGCCACUCCCCAGGCUAACAGUUUCAACACCAUGUCACUAACACCCAACUCCUUUGUCCCUGUCACCUUCCACUCUCUUGGCAGCUGGCUGCAUUUCUAGGGGCUCUUUGCUGUAGGUCAGUUAAUGUUGCUGGAUAAGACAAAACAAAAACAAGAAAUUGUGUUAAUUCUGCACACUAACAAACUCACCAGUCCUUAGCUGACACCCUCCCCUUUAGUCUGGCUCACACAUAGUCUCCUCUUGGGUCCUUCACACAGUGCUUCCUGGAAUCUGUCCCAAAGAUAGCACGUGUCCUUUGAGAUAUGAAUGGGGGUUUUGUGGGGAUUUGGGGGUUUUGUUUUGAAGGAAGUUAAGAAAGGAAAGGGUUCCCCAAUACAUUUGGGAAGUGCCAGAAGUAAACAAAAAGUUAUAUCAAUCACCAUGAUGUACACUUCAAAUAUCUUAGAAUUCUGUGCGUCUAUUAAUGCCUCAAUAAAGCUGAUAUUUCCAAAAAGA